This 646-nucleotide long non-coding RNA is filed under the name Homo sapiens (human). Its description in RNAcentral is "HSALNT0303018". Lineage: Eukaryota; Metazoa; Chordata; Mammalia; Primates; Hominidae. The record is from RNAcentral.
CCACCCCCUCCAAAUUCUACUCAGACUUCACCACCCUGGCCCCUGGGGUACAAGCGUGGUUCAGGCUAAGCCAGAGUCCCUCGCUGAGAUGUUACCUCUAAAGCCAUCAGCCAGGAGAGGAAAAGUGGCUUCCAUUGGUUACAAGGUUGUAAGGGGAGAACUAGGAGUGCCCCAAGGCCAUAUUCUGGCCUUAGUGGGCAGCCAGCUUGAGAGAAAGAAAGAGAAAACCAUGCUGAAGAAAGCCAGGCAGGGACAGAUGGACAGAUAGAGUUUAAGUCGCUGGCCUGCCAGGGCUCCCCAGGGCCAGCUCUAGUGUGGCACUUUCCUCAGAGCAGUUACAUGAGACAAUAUAGUCCCUCCCUUUUCCUUUUAGCUAGGGUGGGUCCUGUCCCCACCUGUGUAGGCAGAGGAGCCCUGAGCAAUGAGCACACUGCACUUAUUCAGCGGCAGCUGAAGUGAUUCAGGAGGAUGGCCUUGAAGGUUGUGGAGGAGAGAGAGCAUCCAGGGCGAAGACGACGACGUGAAAGAAGGCUCUAGGGGCUGGGCAUUGUGACUCACGCCUGUAAUCCCAGCAGUUUGGGAGGCUGAGCAACUUACAGUAGAAACCCCUGCCUGAAAUGGACAACUUCUCUGACUGAUCUAUUUC